AGGGGAAAGUGGGGAUCGCAAGACCUCACGUUAUUCGAGCGGCCGACGUCUGAUUAGCUAGUUGGUGGGUAAAGGCCUACCAAGGCGACGAUCAGUAGCGGGUCUGAGAGGAUGAUCCGCCACACUGGGACUGAGACACGGCCCAGACUCCUACGGGAGGCAGCAGUGGGGAAUUUUGGACAAUGGGGGCAACCCUGAUCCAGCCAUUCCGCGUGACGUGAAGAAGGCCUUCGGGUUGUAAAGCUCUUUCAGCCUGGAGUGAAACGGUGCGCUCCUAACAUAGCGCGCUAAUGACGGUACCAGCAGAAGAAGCACCGGCUAACUACGUG
RNAcentral lists this ribosomal RNA (329 nucleotides) under uncultured bacterium. RNAcentral's name for it is "bacterial SSU rRNA". It matches the Rfam family "Bacterial small subunit ribosomal RNA", at positions 198 to 507 of the family's 1533-position model. The record is from RNAcentral.